Molecule: ribosomal RNA, 446 nt
Filed under: uncultured bacterium
Lineage: Bacteria
Description: partial 16S ribosomal RNA
Rfam family: Bacterial small subunit ribosomal RNA
Source: RNAcentral
CCAGACUCCUACGGGAGGCAGCAGUAGGGAAUUUUGCGCAAUGGGGGAAACCCUGACGCAGCAACACCGCGUGAAUGUUAAGUCCUUCGGGGUGUAAAGUUCUGUCAAUAGGGACGAAUUUUGACUGUACCUAUAAAGGAAGCACCGGCUAACUCCGUGCCAGCAGCCGCGGUAAUACGGGGGGUGCAAGCGUUGUCCGGAUUCAUUGGGCGUAAAGCGCGCGUAGGCGGCCGCCUAAGCGGAACCUCUAACCCCGGGGCUCAACCUCGGGCCGGGUUCCGGACUGGGCGGCUCGAGUGCGGUAGAGGAGAGCGGAAUUCCCGGUGUAGCGGUGGAAUGCGCAGAUAUCGGGAAGAACACCGAUGGCGAAGGCAGCUCUCUGGGCCGUCACUGACGCUGAGGCGCGAAAGCUGGGGGAGCGAACAGGAUUAGAUACCCUAGUACAC